Molecule: non-coding RNA, 157 nt
Filed under: Granulibacter bethesdensis CGDNIH1
Lineage: Bacteria; Pseudomonadati; Pseudomonadota; Alphaproteobacteria; Acetobacterales; Acetobacteraceae
Description: 6S / SsrS RNA
Rfam family: 6S / SsrS RNA
About the family: E. coli 6S RNA was the first non coding RNA to be sequenced, but its function was unknown until recently. It consists of 184 nucleotides that fold into an extended hairpin structure with a large single-stranded internal bulge.
Source: Rfam by way of RNAcentral
GUGGAGCUGCCCGGUGCGUCAGGCACAUUAAUCCCCCGGGCCGAUAAGCAUUCCCUCGGGAACUGGCGCUGUCAUGGCCGUGGUCAUGAUAACCGGUGCCCACCUGCUCUAGCAGGUCUGAGGAGGAUGAUACGCCAACGGCCAGGGUGGCUCCCCU